GAGUUUGAUCCUGGCUCAGGAUGAACGCUGGCGGCGUGCUUAACACAUGCAAGUCGAACGAAGCGGCUGCAGGGAUUCCCUUCGGGGAGGAACAGUAGCUGUCUGAGUGGCGGACGGGUGAGUAACGCGUGGGCAACCUGCCCCAUACCGGGGGAUAACAGCCGGAAACGGCUGCUAAUACCGCAUACGCCCAGGAGGCUGCAUAGCUUCCUGGGGAAAACUCCGGUGGUAUGGGAUGGGCCCGCGUCUGAUUAGCUCGUUGGCGGGGUAACGGCCCACCAAGGCGACGAUCAGUAGCCGGCCUGAGAGGGCGGCCGGCCACAUUGGGACUGAGACACGGCCCAGACUCCUGCGGGAGGCAGCAGUGGGGAAUAUUGCACAAUGGGGGAAACCCUGAUGCAGCGACGCCGCGUGAGCGAUGAAGUAUCUCGGUAUGUAAAGCUCUAUCAGCAGGGAAGAAAGUGACAGUACCUGACUAAGAAGCCCCGGCUAACUACGUGCCAGCAGCCGCGGUAAUACGUAGGGGGCAAGCGUUAUCCGGAUUCCCUGGGCGUAAAGGGGAGCGCAAGCGGCACGGCAGGGUCUGGGGUGAAAAACCGGGGGCUCACCCCCGGGACUGGCAUUGGAACUGGCCGGGCCGGGAAUGU
Molecule: ribosomal RNA, 647 nt
Filed under: uncultured bacterium
Lineage: Bacteria
Description: bacterial SSU rRNA
Rfam family: Bacterial small subunit ribosomal RNA
Source: RNAcentral